GGGGUUGUGGCUCAAUGGUAGAGCACUUACCUAGCAUGUGUGAGGCCCUGGGUUUGAUCCUCAGCACCA
This 69-nucleotide transfer RNA is filed under the name Ictidomys tridecemlineatus (thirteen-lined ground squirrel). RNAcentral's name for it is "Spermophilus tridecemlineatus (thirteen-lined ground squirrel) tRNA". It matches the Rfam family "tRNA". From Rfam's summary of the family: Transfer RNA (tRNA) molecules are approximately 80 nucleotides in length. Their secondary structure includes four short double-helical elements and three loops (D, anti-codon, and T loops). Lineage: Eukaryota; Metazoa; Chordata; Mammalia; Rodentia; Sciuridae. RNAcentral also lists the same sequence under 1 other name. The record is from Rfam by way of RNAcentral.